This 103-nucleotide microRNA precursor is filed under the name Marmota monax (woodchuck). The record is from RNAcentral. Lineage: Eukaryota; Metazoa; Chordata; Mammalia; Rodentia; Sciuridae.
AGAGGGAUUGCUGGGUCAACUGGUGGUUCCAUUCCCAGUUUUCUAAGAAAUAUCCACACUGCUUUCCACAUUGGCUUUACCAAUUUGCAGUCCCACCAGAAGU